UACGAAGGGGGCUAGCGUUGCUCGGAAUGACUGGGCGUAAAGGGCGCGUAGGCGGUUCGUACAGUCAGACGUGAAAUUCCCGGGCUCAACCUGGGGGCUGCGUUUGAUACGUACGGGCUUGAGUUCGGAAGAGGGUCGUGGAAUUCCCAGUGUAGAGGUGAAAUUCGUAGAUAUUCGCAAGAACACCAGUGGCGAAGGCGGCUCACUGGCCCGGUACUGACGCUGAGGUGCGAAAGCGUGGGGAGCAAACAGG
RNAcentral lists this ribosomal RNA (253 nucleotides) under uncultured bacterium. RNAcentral's name for it is "partial 16S ribosomal RNA". It matches the Rfam family "Bacterial small subunit ribosomal RNA", at positions 524 to 776 of the family's 1533-position model. The record is from RNAcentral.